This 263-nucleotide long non-coding RNA is filed under the name Elaeis guineensis (African oil palm). RNAcentral's name for it is "long non-coding RNA (EGUI_LNC082036)". The record is from RNAcentral. Lineage: Eukaryota; Viridiplantae; Streptophyta; Magnoliopsida; Arecales; Arecaceae.
CUCUCUUGUCUUUUAUGUGGAUGAUUGCCUGCUGAUUCCUCAUGCCAUGAUUCAGGAUGCUAUUACCCUUACUGCCAUUAUUGACACUUACUAUUAUCAUUCUGAUCAAAAUGUCAACUAUGAAAAGUCCUCCAUCUGUUUCAACCCUUCCACUCCUAUGUCUGUUAAACCGUUUAUUGUUCACAUGCUUUGUAUCUCUAUCCACCCUUUACCCUGGAACUAUUUGGGUGUGCCUUAGUCGCCUUGCAUUUUAUGACAUAUAC